RNAcentral lists this ribosomal RNA (497 nucleotides) under uncultured bacterium. RNAcentral describes it as "partial 16S ribosomal RNA". It matches the Rfam family "Bacterial small subunit ribosomal RNA", at positions 28 to 507 of the family's 1533-position model. The record is from RNAcentral.
GAUGAACGCUGGCGGCGUGCCUAAUACAUGCCAGUCGAGCGAACAGACGAGGAGCUUGCUCCUCUGACGUUAGCGGCGGACGGGUGAGUAACACGUGGAUAACCUACCUAUAAGACUGGGAUAACUUCGGGAAACCGGAGCUAAUACCGGAUAAUAUAUUGAACCGCAUGGUUCAAUAGUGAAAGACGGUUUUGCUGUCACUUAUAGAUGGAUCCGCGCCGCAUUAGCUAGUUGGUAAGGUAACGGCUUACCAAGGCGACGAUGCGUAGCCGAUCUGAGAGGGUGAUCGGCCACACUGGAACUGAGACACGGUCCAGACUCCUACGGGAGGCAGCAGUAGGGAAUCUUCCGCAAUGGGCGAAAGCCUGACGGAGCAACGCCGCGUGAGUGAUGAAGGUCUUCGGAUCGUAAAACUCUGUUAUUAGGGAAGAACAAAUGUGUAAGUAACUAUGCACGUCUUGACGGUACCUAAUCAGAAAGCCACGGCUAACUACGUG